GGUGGCUCAGUGGUAGAGUGCUUGCCUUGCAUCCAUGAGCCCUGGGUUCAAUUCCUUGGCACCA
RNAcentral lists this transfer RNA (64 nucleotides) under Dipodomys ordii (Ord's kangaroo rat). It matches the Rfam family "tRNA". Rfam says of the family: Transfer RNA (tRNA) molecules are approximately 80 nucleotides in length. Their secondary structure includes four short double-helical elements and three loops (D, anti-codon, and T loops). The record is from Rfam by way of RNAcentral. Lineage: Eukaryota; Metazoa; Chordata; Mammalia; Rodentia; Heteromyidae.